CACAGAACCUGUUGGCCUUGACUGCAAGUUUUGAGUCAAAGAACCUUGGGACUCAAAGUUUGGAUGGGUGGGGGUGGGGGAAUGGGUCUGAAUGGAAAUCCAGAAUGAUGAGGCCUCUGACCCCAGGGAGACCUCCUGGGCCUCAUUUUGGGUAUGAAUGUCAUAUGUUUUGUGCUGAUGGAAUAUGACUCCUGCCAUAUAUACCCCCAUAAGUCUGCCAUGGAAAUGAAAGUACAUUCUCAAAGCACUGAGCUCAGAGAAGCACUGCCCUUGACUCAGAGAAGGAAGACACACGGAAGUGUGACUGUCAGUUACCAGAGAAAACUUUUUAACGUAGGCCUUGCCAAAAGAUGAAGGCCUUAGGUGGCUGUUUCACCCUUUAGUCUUUGGGGUUUUCUACAUAAAUUGAUUAGAAACACAGCUUCCAGACAAGACAUAUGCGUGUAAUCCCAGCAUGACACACGCUUGUAAUCCCAGAACUAGGGAGUUGUAAGCAAGAGGAUCAGGGCUUGGAGGCCAGCCUAGGCUAAAUGAGACACUAUCUGAAAUAAGAAUAAUAAAAUACUACUUCCUCCUGGAAAAAAAAAAAAGCCAGACAGCCACCAACUGGAGUAUAUACAAGCCUGGCGAUGGGUUUCAUCAACAGAAGUGCAGAGAAUAGCCAGCUUGCUUUGCCAGGCACAGGCUAAAGCUCACUGCCCAGAGGCACCAGGGACAGGUUCCACAUGCUUGACACAGAGCCAGGAGUUCUGGAGCCAACUCAAAGUCUCUGUCCUCAGAAGAGCUCAGAAGAAAAAAAAAAAUGCACUGGAAUAAAGUAGUCAAUGCCCACCCAAUACCCAAAGUACAAAAACUCCAUGCCUUGGACUCGCUGAGUCCAGAGUUCAGGCUGAGUCUUAAUGAUGUGGGAAGCAUUACAGACUGUGGACAGACAGCCACCUCCCUGCCAUCGGCAGAACAAUCGGAAGACAGAGACGAUGCAUAGGGGCCCAGAGGAUCCUGCUGGGCUCUAGGCUCAAUCAUUGCUCUGUGGAUUUGCAAUAUGGGAGUACAUUGUGCACAAACAAGCUUUGUAUUCUGCACAGCUUCAACCUUGCUUCUUGUGUGUCUCUUUGCAAUAUAAACUUAAAUAUAUACUUUAAUGUGCUCAGCCUACCGAGGACUGAUGGAGGAAUGGCUGAAGACAGCCGGAACACUUGAUGUGAAAAAAAUUCUAUAGCUUGAAAGGAUGCCCAGAAAGGCUUCAGGGUGACCCAAAUAAGGACACAGGGCAAUACAUCUUGAAUCUUCUUUCCUCUGAUUCAGGAACAGAAUAUGGACCACCACUGCCAGCCAGCCAGCCAGCAGGAUCUUCAGCGCAGUACAUUCCCAAAAGUUUCUCCAGAGGGAAUAUCUGUGUGGUUCAGGGAUGUUUCAGAGCUGGCUAAGCCUUCCCUGUGUGUGCCAACCAAUAUAAUUAAAAAUGCAUCCCAAGUAAACCUCAGACAACUGAGCCCUCCGCUGCAACGUGGGGGGGCGCGCUCACUGUCGGAGGGUGGUCACCCCGGUGGGCGCAAACAUUGCCCCAGGUGCUCUGCAGCUGGCUGCAAAGGCUCGUGAAAUUCUAUCCUUUCAAGUUCCCAGUGUGCUGGAGAGCAACCCUGAGAGGCCGGCUGGCAGCCCUGCCCCACCUGUGGAAACUAAUGAUACCAGCUCAGCAUAUUGGCAGAGGAAGGAAACUUGCACUGCAAACAGACCUACCGAAACACUGGAAGUAUGUCUGAACAGAAGCACAUUGAUUCAAGUCGCUCAAAGAUCAAAUUACUCUCCCAGCCCAGGUGAUUUUGUCCUAGAAGCCAGGAUACUUGUAUCGACAAGAAUAUUGAUGAAAAACCACUCGCUGCAUCUCGGCGGACCAUAUUAAGGCUGUUAAUCUCGGAAGUGUCCCAUAAUUUUUAUCCGACAUGCAGACUCUUCAUUGGAAAGAGUUUUAACUCCAAUGCAAACAGUAAUAAGGAAAUAAAAUCACUGGUGUAUGUCUUUUCCAAUAUCGGACUUGGUAAGAAUUCUUGACUUCUAUGGUCAAUUGAAGCUCAUCUUAAAUAAAAAGCUUUGUUUCUUCCAACAGA
RNAcentral lists this long non-coding RNA (2108 nucleotides) under Mus musculus (house mouse). RNAcentral's name for it is "RIKEN cDNA 4933435G04 gene". The record is from RNAcentral. Lineage: Eukaryota; Metazoa; Chordata; Mammalia; Rodentia; Muridae.